GGAGGAAGUAGGGGAUCGCAAGACCUUGCGCUUUUGGAGCGGCCGAUGCCUGAUUAGCUUGUUGGUGAGGUAAAAGCUCACCAAGGCUCCGAUCAGUAGCUGGUCUGAGAGGACGACCAGCCACACUGGGACUGAGACACGGCCCAGACUCCUACGGGAGGCAGCAGUGGGGAAUUUUGGACAAUGGGGGCAACCCUGAUCCAGCCAUGCCGCGUGAGUGAAGAAGGCCUUCGGGUUGUAAAGCUCUUUCAGCCGGAACGAAACGGUCACGGUCAAUACCCGUGACUACUGACGGUACCGGAAGAAGAAGCACCGGCUAACUACGUGCCAGCAGCCGCGGUAAUACGUAGGGUGCGAGCGUUAAUCGGAAUUACUGGGCGUAAAGCGUGCGCAGGCGGUUUUGUAAGUCAGAUGUGAAAUCCCCGGGCUUAACCUGGGAACUGCGUUUGAAACUACAAAGCUAG
This 464-nucleotide ribosomal RNA is filed under the name uncultured bacterium. RNAcentral's name for it is "bacterial SSU rRNA". It matches the Rfam family "Bacterial small subunit ribosomal RNA", at positions 189 to 644 of the family's 1533-position model. The record is from RNAcentral.